Molecule: ribosomal RNA, 956 nt
Filed under: Parasaccocoelium mugili
Lineage: Eukaryota; Metazoa; Platyhelminthes; Trematoda; Plagiorchiida; Haploporidae
Description: partial large subunit ribosomal RNA
Rfam family: Eukaryotic large subunit ribosomal RNA
Source: RNAcentral
GCUCCAUCCUAAGUCCAGCAUUGAAUAUGGUAUGGACAUGGCCCAUUGAGGGUGAAAGGCCCGUGUGGGUGGAGGUUCAUGAUGCCAGUGUCUCCCUGGGUAGACCUUGGAGUCGGGUUGUUUGUGAAUGCAGCCCAAAGUGGGUGGUAAACUCCAUCCAAGGCUAAAUACAAGCACGAGUCCGAUAGCGAACAAGUACCGUGAGGGAAAGUUGAAAAGUACUUUGAAGAGAGAGUAAACAGUACGUGAAACCGCUCAGAGGUAAACGGGUGGAGUUGAACUGCAAUCCUUGUGGAUUCAGCUGGUGAGUGUGGUUUGAGCUUGGUUAAAUUGGUUGAUCUCAGGGGUCUGCGUAUUGGCAGGUCUUCACCUUCGGGUGGGGAUGCGCGAUGCACCUACCAUGUGCUGUGCGCCUCGGGGUUAUCGGACCUACUCGCCAGUGCACUUCUGCAGGGUGUUCACCACGACCGGUGUCGCCGUCUGACUGUUGUGGUUAAACCGGUCUUGCAUUUUCCUUGUGAUUUUGCUUGGUCGGGAUGGCAGGUAGCUCUUCGGUGGCUGUGGCUUGCUGCAGUUGCCUUUGGGUGUAAUCAGCUGACUGCAAUGGUUCUGUGCGGUACGUCGGAGACAGCGGCUAGUUGUGUGUGCUUUCGUGCCAUUGCGUGGGCAUGCUCGGGUCUGAUUGUCAUGUUGCUCGCUUAAUGUGGGCCUGGCAGUGGCUCGGGUUUGUUCUGUGGUGGUUGCGUUUGUGUCACUUUACAGGGCCAAUAGUCUGUGGUGUAGUGGUAGACGAUCCACCUGACCCGUCUUGAAACACGGACCAAGGAGAGUAACAUGUGCGCGAGUCAUUGGGCGUAACGAAACCCACAGGCGAAGUGAAAGUAAAGGCUUGGCUUGUCCAGGCUGAGGUGAGAUCCUGCUGUUUCCCAUGCGCGGUACUACCAAGCAUCGAGCAG